RNAcentral lists this long non-coding RNA (1757 nucleotides) under Homo sapiens (human). RNAcentral's name for it is "HSALNT0254133". The stretch from base 459 to 606 matches the Rfam family "Metazoan signal recognition particle RNA". Lineage: Eukaryota; Metazoa; Chordata; Mammalia; Primates; Hominidae. The record is from RNAcentral.
CUGCCCACCACCCCCCCGUGAAGGUGGUGAUGACUUACACGGUCUGAGCGGUCGCUUGCCCAACCACGUGCCCCGCGCCUCCCUCCAGGGAGGUCCCUGCACGUCUCCAGCCCUCACUCCUCUCUGUAGUUGGCAACCUUCUUGUCGCCACUGCGCAGAGCAGGAAACUGAGGCACCGAGCGGGGUGCAAGGAAGGCGGUCGGGAGGGGGACGCGUGCUCUGCAGGGAGCUGUGUGCGCGGGAAGCGACCCCAGGGGGCUAAGCGCAGAGGCCCAGGCUCCAGCCCGGACUUGCACCUCCUCCCUCCACAAAACUGCAACCGGGGCCGGCGCGGUGGCUCACGCCUGUCAUCUUAACACCUUGGGAGGCGGAGGUGGGCGGAUCAUCAGAGGUCAGGAGUUCGAGACCAGCCUGGCCAACAAGGUGAAACCCCAUCUGUACUAAAAAUACAGAAAUCAGCCGGGCAUGGUGGCGCGCGCCUGUAGUCCCAGCUACUUGGGAGGCUGAGGUAGGAGAAUCGCUUGAAUCCGGGAGGUGGAAGUCGCAGUGAGCCGAGAUCGCGCCACUGCACUCCAGCCUGGGUGACACAGUGAGACUCCACCUCAAAAACAAAACAAAACAAAAAACUGCCGGCAGGAGAGCUGCCCCCGACAACAAGGCCUGAAUCCAGCCUUCCAGCCCCAGGGCCACGUGUAACCUAAUGGCGGCAGGUGUCUGAGAGGCCUCCACCAUAAGGCUAUAUUAAACACCAAACCCAGCUGCCACCCCUAUCUCCGAUGGAGAGGCCUGAGACACCUGCCCCAGGUUGGGGGUGCUUUGGAGAGACGCUCCCUGCAGCGGGAUAAAGGGGUGUGGGAGUACCCCCUUCUCGGGCCAGGACCCAGCUCAGGUCUGAAGGUGCAGGAAGUCCCUCCCACCUACGAUGGAGCACCUGGAGGCCAGCAGACCCGAAAGGCACCUGGAGGGCAGGUGCAUGGGCCUGUCUGUGCCUCAGUUUAUCCCUCUAUAAAAUGGGCCAAUGUUAAUUCAACCCUUUCACCAUCCUGUUCUGGAUUAGGCUGCCCUUUGUUCAAAGGGAAGGGCACAGGGUGGGGGCAUAAUUACCCCCAGGGCAGGAAGGGUAGAGCCCCUACCCGUUUCCCAGGAGGAAGCUGUGAUCCGGGUAGCUGGCUGCAGCUUCCCCCAAAGGGGCCGCGCAGGGGGGUGAGGGGAUGCAGGAUGGCAGCUGCCUGCAGUGAGGGGGCUCCUAUUUUUAGCCCAGAGAGGGAGCCGGGAAUGUCUACGCAGACUAGCUGGCUCCACCAUAUUCCAGAUGCCCUCAUGCCCCGCAGGGGUAGGCAGCAGUGUGGAUUUAGAUCAGUACAGACCUCUCCCAGUCUCUUUCUCAAGCUGUGCAUUGGGCACAGCAGCCCCAGCUUUAAACAUUUCCUAACCAGACCAUCUACCGGGGGCACAGCAGCCCCAGCUCUGAAGGUUUCCCAGCCAGACCAUCUCCUGGGGGCACAGCAGCCCUAGCUCUGAAGGUUUCCCAGCCAGACCAUCUCCUGGGGGCGCCUGGGGCUUUGGGAACCUCCCCCACACAAAAACAGCGUGAUCCUCCCCCAACCCUGCUGGUCACUGGACCGGUUCUCUACUCUGCACUCAGGUAGGGGACAUCCUCAUAAAACCCCCCAGAUCCCGCUCCCACAGCUCUGCAGGUUAAAAAGCCCAAACUAGGGCUGGGCCUGGUGGCUCACACCUGUAAUCCCAGCACUUUG